CAAUAGCGUAUAUUAAAGUUGUUGCGGUUAAAAAGCUCGUAGUUGGAUUUCUGCUGAGAACGACCGGUCCGCCCUUUGGGUGUGUAUCUGGCUCUUUCUUGGCAUCUUCUUGGUGAACGUUGCUGCACUUGACUGUGUGGAGCGCUACCCAGGACUUUUACUUUGAAAAAAUUAGAGUGUUUCAAGCAGGCAAUGGCUCGAAUACAUUAGCAUGGAAUAAUGGAAUAGGACUUUUGUCCAUUUGAUUGGUUAUUGGACUUAGGUAAUGAUUAAAAGGGACAGUUGGGGGCAUUAGUAUUUAAUUGUCAGAGGUGAAAUUCUUGGAUUUAUUAAAGACUAACUUAUGCGAAAGCAUUUGCCAAGGAUGUUUUCAUUAA
Molecule: ribosomal RNA, 377 nt
Filed under: uncultured eukaryote
Lineage: Eukaryota
Description: partial 18S ribosomal RNA
Rfam family: Eukaryotic small subunit ribosomal RNA
Source: RNAcentral